GACGAACGCUGGCGGCGUGCCUAAUACAUGCAAGUAGAACGCACAGGAUGCACCGUAGUUUACUACACCGUAUUCUGUGAGUUGCGAACGGGUGAGUAACGCGUAGGUAACCUGCCUGGUAGCGGGGGAUAACUAUUGGAAACGAUAGCUAAUACCGCAUAAGAACAUUUACUGCAUGGUAGAUGUUUAAAAGGUGCAAAUGCAUCACUACCAGAUGGACCUGCGUUGUAUUAGCUAGUAGGUGAGGUAACGGCUCACCUAGGCGACGAUACAUAGCCGACCUGAGAGGGUGAUCGGCCACACUGGGACUGAGACGCGGCCCAGACUCCUACGGGAGGCAGCAGUAGGGAAUCUUCGGCAAUGGGGGGAACCCUGACCGAGCAACGCCGCGUGAGUGAAGAAGGUUUUCGGAUCGUAAAGCUCUGUUGUUAAGGAAGAACGAGUGUGAGAAAUGGAAAAGUUCAUACUGUGACGGUACUAAAC
This 483-nucleotide ribosomal RNA is filed under the name Streptococcus intermedius. RNAcentral describes it as "bacterial SSU rRNA". It matches the Rfam family "Bacterial small subunit ribosomal RNA", at positions 28 to 483 of the family's 1533-position model. Lineage: Bacteria; Bacillati; Bacillota; Bacilli; Lactobacillales; Streptococcaceae. The record is from RNAcentral.